AAGCUAACGCUUUAAGUGCCCCGCCUGGGGAGUCCGGUCCCAAAACUAAAACUCAAAGGAAUUGACGGAAACUCAACGGAUUUGACGGAAAGUCAACAGGAUUUGUUGGAAAUUCAUAGGGAUUGAAGGGAAACGUCAAGCGGAUUUUUAGGAUCACUAUGUGUGAUCCCCGGGACUCAACUUGGGAACUGCGUCUGAUACUGGAAGGCUAGAGUACUGGAGAGGGUGGUGGAAUUCCUCGUGUAACGGUGAAAUGCGUAGAGAUGAGGAGGAACACCAGUGGCGAAGGCGGCCACCUGGACAGUAACUGACGCUGAGGCGCGAAAGUGUGGGUAGCAAACAGGAUUAGAUACCCUGGUAGUCCACGCUGUAAACGAUGAACACUUGGUGUGGAGGGAGUUGACCCCUUCCGUGCCGGAGCUAACGCGUUAAGUGUUCCGCCUGGGGAGUACGGUCGCAAGGCUGAAACUCAAA
RNAcentral lists this ribosomal RNA (474 nucleotides) under uncultured prokaryote. RNAcentral's name for it is "bacterial SSU rRNA". The stretch from base 70 to 474 matches the Rfam family "Bacterial small subunit ribosomal RNA", at positions 1 to 905 of the family's 1533-position model. The record is from RNAcentral.